CCAUUCACACAGCGGUGUAGUCUAUGUGAGACACAGGUACCCACUAAGAAAGCGCCUGGAUUUCCAUAUACCCACUUAAAAAUGCCCAAUAACAUGCAACAACAUAUUUCC
This is a long non-coding RNA of Etheostoma spectabile (orangethroat darter), 111 nucleotides long. RefSeq lists it as uncharacterized. NCBI's taxonomy places the organism in Eukaryota, Metazoa, Chordata, Actinopteri, Perciformes, Percidae. The record is from RefSeq and is a predicted model, not a curated record. The transcript has 3 exons.